Molecule: long non-coding RNA, 622 nt
Filed under: Sus scrofa (pig)
Lineage: Eukaryota; Metazoa; Chordata; Mammalia; Artiodactyla; Suidae
Description: lncRNA (ENSSSCG00025029145.1, ENSSSCG00070025350.1)
Source: RNAcentral
CUCUAUAAAUACAAAAUAGUACUAUAUGAAGCAUGCUAUGACAUGAUGAUAUGGUCUAAGGGGCUUAAAUUAAAUGCUCUCAGGAUAAUUAGUGGAUUUUGGCAAUGUCCUCAGUGUCAUUAAGAUCUGAGUAACUAUGUCUUCAAGAAAUAUAUUCUGUGGCUGAUUCAGGUGCAAGACACUUGCAGCUUAUCAGGAGCCACCUGAUCACUUUUUCUGUGGCAGGAUGAUUGUCGUUUGAUGGGGUUAGGUUGCAUGGUGCUGGACCAAUGCAGUCACACUGAUAGAUUUGGGUCCUGAUAUCCUUUCACUCUGUUCACUUGACUUCCUCUCAAUUCUGUUUUGUGAAUAGUGACACUUUGGAUUUACCUAUUAGAGAAGACUAUUGGCUCUCAACCAGAAUGUUUUCUAAACUCUUCCAUAUACAAGGAGAGCAAAAUCAUGUUAUAACAUCCUUGAAAAUUGAAGACCCGCCUUAAGCAUUUCUGUUGACUUGGAAACUGCAGUCCAUUCCAUUGUCAGACAGUUCUGAAGAUAGGAAGUUCUUAAUACUGAAACCAACUCUGGUCUCCUCAUUCCUCAAGCAACUCUAGUCUGGCUCUUUUCCUCACCAUUCCUCCAA